ACUUACCCCCAUACCAUCCUGAAUACGCCUGAUCUCGUCUGAUCUCGGAAGCUAAGCAGGGUUGGGCCUGGUUAGUACUUGGAUGGGAGACCAACUGGGAAUACCAGGUGCUGUAAGUG
Molecule: ribosomal RNA, 119 nt
Filed under: Hucho hucho (huchen)
Lineage: Eukaryota; Metazoa; Chordata; Actinopteri; Salmoniformes; Salmonidae
Source: RNAcentral